GACGAACGCUGGCGGCGUGCUUAACACAUGCAAGUCGAACGGAAAGGCCCUGCUUUUGUGGGGUGCUCGAGUGGCGAACGGGUGAGUAACACGUGAGUAACCUGCCCUUGACUUUGGGAUAACUUCAGGAAACUGGGGCUAAUACCGGAUAGGAGCUCCUGCUGCAUGGUGGGGGUUGGAAAGUUUCGGCGGUUGGGGAUGGACUCGCGGCUUAUCAGCUUGUUGGUGGGGUAGUGGCUUACCAAGGCUUUGACGGGUAGCCGGCCUGAGAGGGUGACCGGCCACAUUGGGACUGAGAUACGGCCCAGACUCCUACGGGAGGCAGCAGUGGGGAAUAUUGCACAAUGGCGGAAGCCUGAUGCAGCAACGCCGCGUGCGGGAUGACGGCCUUCGGGUGGUAAACCGCUUUCGCCUGUGACGAAGCGUGAGUGACGGUAAUGGGGAAAGAAGCACCGGCUAACUACGU
Molecule: ribosomal RNA, 466 nt
Filed under: uncultured bacterium
Lineage: Bacteria
Description: partial 16S ribosomal RNA
Rfam family: Bacterial small subunit ribosomal RNA
Source: RNAcentral